This 194-nucleotide ribosomal RNA is filed under the name uncultured bacterium. RNAcentral describes it as "partial 16S ribosomal RNA". It matches the Rfam family "Bacterial small subunit ribosomal RNA", at positions 338 to 524 of the family's 1533-position model. The record is from RNAcentral.
CCUACGGGAGGCAGCAGUGGGGAAUAUUGGACAAUGGGGGAAACCCUAAUCCAGCGACGCCGCGUGUGUGAAGAAGGCCUGCGGGUUGUAAAGCACUUUUAGUGGGGAUGAAAAGCUCAGGGAUAACACCUCUGGGUCUUGACCUAACCCACAGAAAAAGCACCGGCUAACUCUGUGCCAGCAGCCGCGGUAAU